Molecule: small RNA, 171 nt
Filed under: Streptomyces sp.
Lineage: Bacteria; Bacillati; Actinomycetota; Actinomycetes; Kitasatosporales; Streptomycetaceae
Also listed under: 1 other name
Description: c-di-AMP sequence
Rfam family: c-di-AMP riboswitch aptamer (ydaO/yuaA leader)
About the family: This family represents a conserved RNA structure found upstream of the ydaO and yuaA genes in Bacillus subtilis and related genes in other bacteria.
Source: RNAcentral
GAGCGGCCUCCGCCGAGUCGGCGUGCCCUGCGGGGCCGCGGAGCCGGGGACCCAACCGAACCAUGGGGUGAAUCGACCCGAGGCCGUGACGGGCCGGGUCGUAGGGCACACCUUCCGACGCGAACGCCCGAACCCGUCAGCUAACUCGGUAGGCGGAGUACGGAAGGAGCA